AUACAUAUCUCCUCCUAUCAGAAAAUCAUCUGCUAAUAUCCAUUUUUAUCAGUUUAAUAUCUGAUAUGUCCUUUUUGAGGACUGUAUAUUAAAUUGAUUUUUGAAACGGGGGAUGGAAUAGGAGCUUGCUCUGUCCACCCCAUGCAUCGACCUGGUAUUGCAGUGUUCCCAGGAAUGGGAGGGGGGAAA
This 189-nucleotide small nuclear RNA is filed under the name Chelydra serpentina (North American snapping turtle). Its description in RNAcentral is "U2 spliceosomal RNA (ENSCSRG00000008124.1)". It matches the Rfam family "U2 spliceosomal RNA". Rfam says of the family: U2 is a small nuclear RNA (snRNA) component of the spliceosome (involved in pre-mRNA splicing). Complementary binding between U2 snRNA (in an area lying towards the 5' end but 3' to hairpin I) and the branchpoint sequence (BPS) of the intron results the bulging out of an unpaired adenosine, on the BPS, which initiates a nucleophilic attack at the intronic 5' splice site, thus starting the first of two transesterification reactions that mediate splicing. The record is from Rfam by way of RNAcentral. Lineage: Eukaryota; Metazoa; Chordata; Testudines; Chelydridae.